ACUUGCCGCGCCCUGCUCGCGGAAAGAGGAAGCAAGCAACAAUGAACUGGAUUUCAAAAUAAAGUCGCGUCUAAUGUCCGAGGUCAAACACGGCGAUAUAAAUCGAUGUUUACGUUUAGCAUCGAUACCAAUAUAUCGUAGAGCAUUAUAUCGAUUAAUCGAUGUGUAUCGAUGUAUCGUUACACCCCUACACAUUACUUUUGGCACAUUGAAAAACACAUUACUUUUGGCACAUUGAAAAACACAUUACUUUUGGCACAUUGGAAAAACAACAUUACUUUUGGCACAUUGGAAAAACAACAUUACUUUUGGCACAUUGGAAAAACAACAGCACUUUUGGCACAUUGGAAAAACAACAGCACUUUUGGCACAUUGGAAAAACAACAGCACUUUUGGCACAUUGGAAAAACAACAGCACUUUUGGCACAUUGGAAAAACAACAGCACAAGUUAUAAUUGUGUUGUGUAUUGAGUUACUUAUCAGGUCUUGCUCUUCUUCCCCCCCCCCCGCCAACAGAGACUCUGACCCCACAGAGUCAAGCUCCUUUUUCCCCCAGAACUCUCCGAAGUCCACAAGAGUCAAGCUCCUUUUUCCCCCAGAACUCUCCGAAGUCCACAAGAGACUCGGGCCCAACAGAAAUGCAUCCGUCCUUCCUUGCUUUCUCCAACAGUGAGAAGGUUGCAGAGAUAUCCUAUGUCGCUGCAAAGUAAGAAAAUAAGUUAUUUGAAGGUAUGAAACUAAUUGGUGUCUCUGACUAGGUAAUUUUUGUAUAUUAUUUCUGUUUCUGUUCAUCUCAGAGUUUGAAAAAAUUAUGAUUGAGAGUAUGGUGUAUUUAAUACAAAUAGUGUCAAACGUCCACAAUGUUGUGGAGACACAUAAAACAUGGAACUAUCCGAUUGCCUCAAAAGACGCCCUAAUCUUAAGGCAAUUUGAAAUAAACCAACCGCAAGUACGACGGUCCUUGGUAAGUAAUAAUGCUAUUUGCUUUCAACUGGGAUAUAAUCCACUCUUAAUUCAUAUCAUAAUUUCUGUUCAUAAUUUGUCAUAUAAUAAUAAUAAUAAUAAUAAUAACUGGGAUUUAUAUAGCGCUUUUCUAGGUACCCAAA
This is a long non-coding RNA of Syngnathus typhle (broad-nosed pipefish), 1106 nucleotides long. RefSeq lists it as uncharacterized. The transcript has 4 exons. The record is from RefSeq and is a predicted model, not a curated record. Lineage: Eukaryota; Metazoa; Chordata; Actinopteri; Syngnathiformes; Syngnathidae.